AGCUUUAAGAUCAGUUUGAUAUUAGAUUGCAAGUCUGAAAGGGUAAGUUAAAUCUUACUAAGGCUU
RNAcentral lists this transfer RNA (66 nucleotides) under Ergaula capucina. Its description in RNAcentral is "tRNA-Cys". The record is from RNAcentral. Lineage: Eukaryota; Metazoa; Arthropoda; Insecta; Blattodea; Corydiidae.